GCUGCAACUCGCCUGCAUGAAGUCGGAAUUGCUAGUAAUCGCAGAUCAGCAUGCUGCGGUGAGUACGUUCCCGGGCCUUGUACACACCGCCCGUCACACCAUGGGAGUCGGUAACACCCGAAGUCGGUAGUCUAACCGAAAGGAGGACGCCGCCGAAGGUGGGAUUGAUGACUGGGGUGAAGUCGUAACAAGGUAAC
Molecule: ribosomal RNA, 197 nt
Filed under: uncultured bacterium
Lineage: Bacteria
Description: partial 16S ribosomal RNA
Rfam family: Bacterial small subunit ribosomal RNA
Source: RNAcentral